CUUCAUCUUCAAUGUGGAGGGGUAACCCAAGCGAGGACUCAGAAUCGAGCAGUCGGCAGGCAAACUAAAUUUGUGGCGCUAAUGCUGCUGCAGUCAACACACUGCGCCUCUCAGAUGGCAUCACAUAGAACUCGGCUGUCGUAUCGCCGAGAAACUGCCACAUUUCAGUUCCCUGAAAUUUAUUAAGGAACAAGGAAUGAACAGGAAGCUAAGCAGUGGUGUACUCUGCUGUGUAAUGCUGCAGGUAUCGGUGUGCACGCAGUAACUUUGCCUGGUGGAGAGCAUCACUUGAGGGUGUAAUGAAGGCUGAGGUUGAGAGCUCGUGACCAGAAGAUCAGAGAACGUAUCUACAUCUCGCAUUCAGCUUCACUCUUCCGUAGGAGGACUGCCUUCAGAGGCAACCCUACUCAGAUCACAUGCUCCAGAAGGAAACUGCACCACUGAACGUUGAGCAAGACCACUGCUUUCGGGUGUCAUGUUGGGGACACCGGCCGCUAGAAUGAGCAGCGCGAGCGGUUCUCUUGCCCACUUCUACAAACUGGAGAUACUGGAUCGAGUUCAAUAAAACUGUCACGCGAAAUGAGGGCGUCCAUCCUUCUGUGGUCCCAGUUUGGCUGCGGUUGAAUGUCCCUCCUGACUUUAGAGAGUGCCACCUCCUCUCAACCUUCAGCUACAAAGCCCUGCAAUCUGGAAGUGACGCUUCUCGGCCAUAGUUUUCUGUCUGCAUUUCCAAGGUAGAGGUCUUGCGAGUGGCUGAUCCUCCAUCCUAGGAGUCUUACCUACUGCCCUAUGAUCAAGAAAGUGAAACGAAACGGAUGUCUUAUGCGUGGGAGCAACAGUAAAAGAGA
This is a long non-coding RNA of Cryptotermes secundus, 848 nucleotides long. RefSeq lists it as uncharacterized. The transcript is spliced from 6 exons. Lineage: Eukaryota; Metazoa; Arthropoda; Insecta; Blattodea; Kalotermitidae. The record is from RefSeq and is a predicted model, not a curated record.